UAAUACCGGAUAACACUGCGGAUCGCAUGGUCUGCGGUUGAAAGCUCCGGCGGUGAAGGAUGAGCCCGCGGCCUAUCAGCUAGUUGGUGGGGUAAUGGCCUACCAAGGCGACGACGGGUAGCCGGCCUGAGAGGGCGACCGGCCACACUGGGACUGAGACACGGCCCAGACUCCUACGGGAGGCAGCAGUGGGGAAUAUUGCACAAUGGGCGAAAGCCUGAUGCAGCGACGCCGCGUGAGGGAUGACGGCCUUCGGGUUGUAAACCUCUUUCAGCAGGGAAGAAGCGAAAGUGACGGUACCUGCAGAAGAAGCGCCGGCUAACUACGUGCCAGCAGCCGCGGUAAUACGUAGGGCGCAAGCGUUGUCCGGAAUUAUUGGGCGUAAAGAGCUCGUAGGCGGCUUGUCACGUCGGAUGUGAAAGCCCGGGGCUUAACCCCGGGUCUGCAUUCGAUACGGGCAGGCUAGAGUGUGGUAGGGGAGAUCGGAAUUCCUGGUGUAGCGGUGAAAUGCGCAGAUAUCAGGAGGAACACCGGUGGCGAAGGCGGAUCUCUGGGCCAUUACUGACGCUGAGGAGCGAAAGCGUGGGGAGCGAACAGGAUUAGAUACCCUGGUAGUCCA
Molecule: ribosomal RNA, 619 nt
Filed under: Streptomyces sp. EGI80081
Lineage: Bacteria; Bacillati; Actinomycetota; Actinomycetes; Kitasatosporales; Streptomycetaceae
Description: bacterial SSU rRNA
Rfam family: Bacterial small subunit ribosomal RNA
Source: RNAcentral